ACUCCUACGGGAGGCAGCAGUGGGGAAUAUUGCACAAUGGGCGCAAGCCUGAUGCAGCCAUGCCGCGUGUGUGAAGAAGGCCUUCGGGUUGUAAAGCACUUUCAGUUGUGAGGAAGGUGGUGUCGUUAAUAGCGGCAUCAUUUGACGUUAGCAACAGAAGAAGCACCGGCUAACUCCGUGCCAGCAGCCGCGGUAAUACGGAGGGUGCGAGCGUUAAUCGGAAUUACUGGGCGUAAAGCGCAUGCAGGUGGUUUGUUAAGUCAGAUGUGAAAGCCCGGGGCUCAACCUCGGAACUGCAUUUGAAACUGGCAGACUAGAGUACUGUAGAGGGGGUUAGAAUUUCAGGUGUAGCGGUGAAAUGCGUAGAGAUCUGAAGGAAUACCGGUGGCGAAGGCGGCCCCUGGACAGAUACUGACACUCAGAUGCGAAAGCGUGGGAGCAAACAGGAUUAGAUACCCCUGGUAGCACAGAG
This 472-nucleotide ribosomal RNA is filed under the name uncultured bacterium. RNAcentral describes it as "bacterial SSU rRNA". It matches the Rfam family "Bacterial small subunit ribosomal RNA", at positions 335 to 799 of the family's 1533-position model. The record is from RNAcentral.